This 74-nucleotide transfer RNA is filed under the name Flammeovirgaceae bacterium. RNAcentral describes it as "tRNA-Arg". It matches the Rfam family "tRNA". Rfam says of the family: Transfer RNA (tRNA) molecules are approximately 80 nucleotides in length. The record is from RNAcentral. Lineage: Bacteria; Pseudomonadati; Bacteroidota; Cytophagia; Cytophagales; Flammeovirgaceae. RNAcentral also lists the same sequence under 3 other names.
GCGCUUGUAGCUCAACUGAAUAGAGCACUUGACUACGGAUCAAGAGGUUCGGGGUUUGAAUCCCUGCAAGCGCA